This 768-nucleotide ribosomal RNA is filed under the name uncultured bacterium. Its description in RNAcentral is "bacterial SSU rRNA". It matches the Rfam family "Bacterial small subunit ribosomal RNA", at positions 28 to 776 of the family's 1533-position model. The record is from RNAcentral.
GACGAACGCUGGCGGCGUGCCUAAUACAUGCAAGUCGAGCGAAGUUUUUCUGGUGCUUGCACCGGAAAAACUUAGCGGCGAACGGGUGAGUAACACGUAAAGAACCUGCCUCAUAGACUGGGACAACUAUUGGAAACGAUAGCUAAUACCGGAUAACAGCAUUAACUGCAUGGUUGAUGUUUAAAAGUUGGUUUUGCUAACACUAUGAGAUGGCUUUGCGGUGCAUUAGCUAGUUGGUGGGGUAAAGGCCUACCAAGGCGACGAUGCAUAGCCGACCUGAGAGGGUGAUCGGCCACACUGGGACUGAGACACGGCCCAGACUCCUACGGGAGGCAGCAGUAGGGAAUCUUCCGCAAUGGGCGAAAGCCUGACGGAGCAACGCCGCGUGAGUGAAGAAGGAUUUCGGUUCGUAAAGCUCUGUUGUUAGGGAAGAAUGAUUGUGUAGUAACUAUACACAGUAGGGACGGUACCUAACCAGAAAGCCACGGCUAACUACGUGCCAGCAGCCGCGGUAAUACGUAGGUGGCAAGCGUUGUCCGGAAUUAUUGGGCGUAAAGCGCGCGCAGGUGGUUUAAUAAGUCUGAUGUGAAAGCCCACGGCUCAACCGUGGAGGGUCAUUGGAAACUGUUAAACUUGAGUGCAGGAGAGAAAAGUGGAAUUCCUAGUGUAGCGGUGAAAUGCGUAGAGAUUAGGAGGAACACCAGUGGCGAAGGCGGCUUUUUGGCCUGUAACUGACACUGAGGCGCGAAAGCGUGGGGAGCAAACAGG